AUGAACGCUAGCGGCAGGCCUAAUACAUGCAAGUCGAACGGGUGGUAGCAAUACCACUAGUGGCGCACGGGUGCGUAACGCGUAACCAACCCGCCCUUGACUGGGGGAUAGCCCGCCGAAAGGCGGAUUAAUACCGCAUAAACUCGCAGUGUGGCAUCACACAACGAGUAAAGAUUUAUUGGUCAAGGAUGGGGUUGCGUGACAUUAGCUAGUUGGCGGGGUAACGGCCCACCAAGGCGACGAUGUCUAGGGGACCUGAGAGGGUGAUCCCCCACACUGGCACUGAGAUACGGGCCAGACUCCUACGGGAGGCAGCAGUAGGGAAUAUUGGGCAAUGGGCGAGAGCCUGACCCAGCCAUGCCGCGUGCCGGAUGAAGGCCUUCUGGGUUGUAAACGGCUUUUCUCAGGGAAGAAAAAGACCAUGCGUGGUACACUGACGGUACCUGAGGAAUAAGCACCGGCUAACUCCGU
Molecule: ribosomal RNA, 471 nt
Filed under: uncultured bacterium
Lineage: Bacteria
Description: bacterial SSU rRNA
Rfam family: Bacterial small subunit ribosomal RNA
Source: RNAcentral